CUCAGUAACGGCGAGUGAAGCGGCAACAGCUCAAAUUUGAAAUCUGGGGGGUCCGAGUUGUAAUUUGAAGAGGGUGUUUCGGGCGAGGCGAGGCCUAAGUCCCUUGGAACAGGGCGUCAUAGAGGGUGAGAAUCCCGUCUGUGGCCGGCGUCCGAGCCCAUGUGAAACCCCUUCGACGAGUCGAGUUGUUUGGGAAUGCAGCUCUAAAUGGGUGGUAUAUUUCAUCUAAAGCUAAAUACCGGCCAGAGACCGAUAGCGCACAAGUAGAGUGAUCGAAAGAUGAAAAGCACUUUGGAAAGAGAGUUAAACAGUACGUGAAAUUGUUGAAAGGGAAGCGCUUGCCACAGACCUGUCGCCGGGUGAUCAGCCGCCGUUUCGGUGGUGCACUCGCCCGCGCGCAGGCCAGCAUCGGUUUGGGCGGUUGGAUAAAGGCCCGGGAAUGUAGCUCCUCCGGGGAGUCUUAUAGCCCGGGGCGCCAUGCGGCCAGCCCAGACCGAGGACCGCGCUUCGGCAAGGAUGCUGGCGUAAUGGUUGCAAGCGGCCCGUCUUGAAACACGGACCAAGGAGUCUAACAUCUAUGCGAGUGUUUGGGUGUCAAACCCGUGCGCGGAAUGAAAGUGAACGGAGGUGGGAACCCUAGGGCGCACCAUCGACCGAUCCAGAU
This 664-nucleotide ribosomal RNA is filed under the name Calicium nobile. RNAcentral's name for it is "LSU rRNA". It matches the Rfam family "Eukaryotic large subunit ribosomal RNA", at positions 79 to 775 of the family's 3401-position model. Lineage: Eukaryota; Fungi; Ascomycota; Lecanoromycetes; Caliciales; Caliciaceae. The record is from RNAcentral.